CACAAGCCUGGCGAUUUUUCGCCAGGCUUGUGGCCCUCUCGCAAUGUCCGAACAAGCCUUGCAGUCC
Laetiporus sulphureus 93-53 is the source of this 67-nucleotide regulatory RNA element. It matches the Rfam family "Rubella virus 3' cis-acting element". Rfam says of the family: This family contains three conserved step loop structures. The record is from Rfam. NCBI's taxonomy places the organism in Eukaryota, Fungi, Basidiomycota, Agaricomycetes, Polyporales, Laetiporaceae.